UACAGAGGUCUCAAGCGUUUGUUCGGAUUCAUUGGGCGUAAAGGGUGUGUAGGUGGCGCCGUAAGUCGGGUGUGAAAUUUCGGAGCUUAACUCCGAAACUGCAUUCGAUACUGCGGUGCUUGAGGACUUGGAGAGGAGACUGGAAUUCAUGGUGUAGCGGUGAAAUGCGCAGAUAUCAGGAAGAACACCCCGUGGCUAAAGGCGGUUCUCUAGUACGGUACUGACGCUGAGACGCGAAAGC
This 241-nucleotide ribosomal RNA is filed under the name uncultured bacterium. RNAcentral describes it as "partial 16S ribosomal RNA". It matches the Rfam family "Bacterial small subunit ribosomal RNA", at positions 524 to 760 of the family's 1533-position model. The record is from RNAcentral.